CUCGUAGGCGGUUCGUCGCGUCCGGUGUGAAAGUCCAUCGCUUAACGGUGGAUCCGCGCCGGGUACGGGCGGGCUUGAGUGCGGUAGGGGAGACUGGAAUUCCCGGUGUAGCGGUGAAAUGCGUAGAGAUCGGUAGGAACACCAGUGGCGAAGGCGGCUUUCUGGACUGAAACUGACGCUGAGGCGCGAAAGCGUGGGGAGCAAACA
RNAcentral lists this ribosomal RNA (207 nucleotides) under uncultured bacterium. RNAcentral's name for it is "partial 16S ribosomal RNA". It matches the Rfam family "Bacterial small subunit ribosomal RNA", at positions 568 to 774 of the family's 1533-position model. The record is from RNAcentral.